CUACGGGCGGCUCCAGUGAGGAAUAUUGCACAAUGGGGGGAACCCUGAUGCAGCAACGCCGCGUGGAGGAUGACGCAUUUCGGUGUGUAAACUCCUUUUAUAUGUCAAGAAAAUGACGGUAGCAUAUGAAUAAGCACCGGCUAACUCCGUGCCAGCAGCCGCGGUAAUACGGAGGGUGCAAGCGUUACUCGGAAUCACUGGGCGUAAAGGACGCGUAGGCGGGUUGGAAAGUCAGGUGUGAAAUCCUACAGCUUAACUGUAGAACUGCACUUGAAACUUCUAAUCUAGAGUAUGGGAGGGGGAGAUGGAAUUAGUGGUGUAGGGGUAACAUCCGUAGAUAUCACUAGGAAUACCUAAAGCGAAGGCGAUCUCCUGGAGCAUUACUGACGCUAAGGCGUGAAAGCGUGGGGAGCAAACAGGAUUAGAUACCCCCGUAGUC
RNAcentral lists this ribosomal RNA (439 nucleotides) under uncultured bacterium. RNAcentral describes it as "partial 16S ribosomal RNA". It matches the Rfam family "Bacterial small subunit ribosomal RNA", at positions 339 to 795 of the family's 1533-position model. The record is from RNAcentral.